This is a long non-coding RNA of Alexandromys fortis (reed vole), 1490 nucleotides long. RefSeq lists it as uncharacterized. The record is from RefSeq and is a predicted model, not a curated record. The transcript has 4 exons. Lineage: Eukaryota; Metazoa; Chordata; Mammalia; Rodentia; Cricetidae.
UGCAUUCAUUUUUUGCUGGGAUGCUUCUGAAAUAUCAUUACAGACAGGGAAACUGGCCAGCAGAGAAUUGGGGAGCUUGUUCAGUGCCAGGGAACUGGACUCGAUUACCCAGGUGGCCUGGUCUUAGGUGACCAAAGAGGAGGAACACUCACCACAGCUGUGAUAACGGGAAGGAGAGAGUCUUGGGGACAAGGGGGAGACACAGCAGCAAAUUGUCCUGCACUGUAAGGGCAGCUGAAGCCUUUUCGAGAGCCCAGCGGAGGGUGGCAGGUUCCGAAGCCUUCAGACCUGGGUCAGGAGGUCCAAAGCCACUUACAGUGACAUUCUUUCACGUUCCUGGGGCACAGUUGUGGGUAAGGCAGGGCCCUCUAACAUGUCAACAUGGUUUUCUAGAGGAUACAAAUAUUUUAAUUUUGAAUAGCAUUCGUGAUCUUUCCUAUUAUUGUAUAAGUCUUACCUAAUGUCAAGCGACAUAUAUCUCGAGACUUCCUUGCCCCUUAUGUGACCCUGAAUCUGGAGGGAGGCAUUUUGGCUCCUGAAGCAAACAGCGGGAAAUAAUUCAUGAUAUGGUUCACAGAUGGUCAUCAUUAACGGUGGAUACCAUCUGGCAGCUUCUCACUUUAAAUCGUUCCUCUUGCUAAGCAGAUAUUAAACUUUCACAAUCUUCGCCUAGAGAUUUGGGUCCUCCAGAUCUCCAUGCUUCGGGCCUCGUUCCUUUCCCGUGUGUGACUCCUGUCCAUCCUUGCUCCAGACAUCUCAGGCACGGAUUAGGUGUGUAUGCUGUACAUGCACAUCAGAGUGAGAACAGGAUCUUGGGAGAGAAAAGAUUGCCUCUGGAAGGUUCAACUGAAGAGACUUCAAUGAAAGGACUGUUUACAGUGGUACACACAAGAGCCCCAGUUCCAAAGAAGGAGGGAGCCUGGAAGGAGAUCCUGCCUUUCUUCUCACUAUAAGACCUCUUGCUGGGACUCCCAUUGGCCAAAACCAAGAAGUCAACCAUCAAGAUCUGGAUGUAGAACCCUCAAACUCCUUCUCCAGCACGUGUAUGCCUGCAUGCAGUCAUGUUUCUGGUCGUGACAAUGGACUGAACCUCUGAAAGAGUUAGCCAGCCCCAAAUAAACAUUGAAGAUUUGCUGUGGUUGUGGGGUCAGCUGUGAUAAGCUAAGUCUGGGCAGGCUACCCAGAGGAAGUUCUUUACUUCCAACCAUUAUCACCUGGGACUCUGGCCAUCGAUGAAUUUAAAUGGAGUCUGGAGUCUCAGUAGUUUACCCCGAGACAAUACCGGGCUAAAAGAGGAACCACAGGCUGAGAUAGCCUGACCCCCACCCAAGAGCAGACCAUUCAAAGGAAACGCCAGGCAUUCUAACCGCUAUAGAUAAGAUCACCUGCCAGCGUACCUCAACAGGACACCCCUAGACAGAUGUCAGCCAAUCAGAGGUCCUGAACCUCAAAACCCCUCAUCCCCACCUUUACUACUAUAAAAAACCCAA